This 77-nucleotide transfer RNA is filed under the name Candidatus Berkelbacteria bacterium. Its description in RNAcentral is "tRNA-Pro". It matches the Rfam family "tRNA". Rfam says of the family: Transfer RNA (tRNA) molecules are approximately 80 nucleotides in length. Their secondary structure includes four short double-helical elements and three loops (D, anti-codon, and T loops). The record is from RNAcentral. Lineage: Bacteria; Candidatus Berkelbacteria.
CGGGGAUUAGCGCAGUCCGGUAGCGCGCAUCGUUCGGGACGAUGAGGUCGCCAGUUCAAAUCUGGCAUCCCCGACCA